Peromyscus maniculatus bairdii (prairie deer mouse) is the source of this 844-nucleotide non-coding RNA. The record is from RefSeq and is a predicted model, not a curated record. Lineage: Eukaryota; Metazoa; Chordata; Mammalia; Rodentia; Cricetidae.
GCUCACUUUUCUGAAGACGACAGCUAACCUGCUGCACUGCUGGUGUGCCUCCCGCCCCUUUGUGACGAGCCCCCUUGAGCCUUGAGGGGAAGACUUUGAUGAAGACGUCACGUAGGACUGAGUGCGCCAAAGUCUCUCAUUCUCUGCACAUUGUCCAGUUGCGAGCCUCUGUGUGAAUUCCCAUCUACUGCAAGAUGAAACUUCUCUAGUAAGGAUUGAGCAAGGGACUAAUUUAUGGUUAUAGCAGAGUGUCAUUAGGAAUCAUUUUAUUGCUGUUUCUUUAACAGAAUAAGAACACUAGGUUUUCCCCUAGGCCCACGACCUAUCAUCUACUCUCAGGUUCCUGGCCUCUUUAGGCAAGAUAUGACCUCCAUUUUACAGCUGCACACUGAGUAUCUGCCAGCUACGAGGCACUGAAACGCCAGCCCUAUUCCUAGACAAGCAAGAGCAAGGCAUCAAACCAGACACAAGAGCGUUAGAGAAACGGGUCAUUAAAGUGAUGAGCACCAUGCGGAAUUCAAACGCAGAACACGCGUGGGACACACGGGAGAUCGUUUAGAUGAGGGUAUCAGAGAGUUCAAUUCUGAGGCUACAGCAUCUGUCCCCGCCUCCAAAAGAACGGUAAGUGCGCCGCAUCACGGAGGCCAGGACAGAACAUUUCAAGCUGGGAGAAAUGCGGUGUGAAGAGUCAAGAAAGCCUGCUGUAUUGAGGAACUGAAAAAUCUACCAUGGCUGCAGCUUGGAGCGAGGGGAAGGCACCUGAAGCCUGACACAGAAAGGAACACCUGCUUAAACUGCCAGGAAAUUCAAAUGCAGCCCAAAGUAGGGCAGAGAAGAGGAGAGA